Molecule: long non-coding RNA, 757 nt
Organism: Electrophorus electricus (electric eel)
Lineage: Eukaryota; Metazoa; Chordata; Actinopteri; Gymnotiformes; Gymnotidae
Source: RefSeq, a predicted model, not a curated record
UAGGCACACCGCACAGAGCAGUUGUCACCAAGUGACAGGCAACAGCUGAGAGAGCGAAGCCCCCAGUUUAUACCCAACUAUAUGAGUAUCCGUGGACAGAUGUCCUGGAGAUUCAUCAGCUUGGCUCCAUGCCAGAGAGGCUCUGUCUGCACAGCUCAUAUCGGAUGAGUGGGGUGAAGGUACAAGACACUGAAGAGAUAUUUUUCAAAACAAAUGCCUAAUCAUUCUGGAGAGCAAAAUCAGCUUAGUGACCCUUUUAGGAAAAGCCCCCUGGAGAGACAUGGGUAGACAGGAUGCCGGAGAAGUGUCUUAUGCUAAUCUGCACCAGUUACUUUGUCCCUUUGAUUUCAGAUGAGGACCUUCUGGUUUUGUUGUUUCUGUGCUUUCUUAGAAACACGCACGUUAUACUAGCGAAACAUAUUCCAAUUAGAGGCACUGACUAACUAGACAUGUCAUUCAAGCUAAAAGCACACCAUUAACUGGCCAUUUGACUUGAUAAUGUCUAAUUAAAGUCUUUCUAUAACAAAUUUAGCAAUGGACAAAACAAACCCUGUAAUCCAGUUCUGUGUAAUGGACAUUACAAAUAAAUUCUAACUUCCUUCUCAAAAUGUGACUAUAGAGGGUCUGAAUUUAGAUGCUAAUGUGGAAGCAUGUUUUGUUAUUUGUAUCAUAUGCAGAAGGAGCAGAUGUUUGCUCUACCUUUCUCUUCCUAUGUCUGAGCCUGCUAUUAGUCCGUGUUAGAAUCAUUUCAAAGCUA